This is a long non-coding RNA of Arabidopsis thaliana (thale cress), 241 nucleotides long. RefSeq annotates it as other RNA. The transcript has a single exon. The record is from RefSeq. NCBI's taxonomy places the organism in Eukaryota, Viridiplantae, Streptophyta, Magnoliopsida, Brassicales, Brassicaceae.
AUAUAGCCUCUCUCCGGAUUCUAGGGUUUCGGAAAACUCUUUCUACCGACUCGAUCGUUUUAACUUAAUCAAUUGCCGGUUCGAAUCCUAAGUUCGUUUUAUAUAAAUCCUAAUUUGGUAAUGCUAGCGCUUAUUCAAAAUGUUCGUUUUUUUUCCUAAUUGCUUGAGUACUUAUUUUAAACUCAUGAGCUGUUUAUUUACAUUAUUGGGCUACACUCGCUAGACCUUGUAAUCUAGUUCC